RNAcentral lists this ribosomal RNA (510 nucleotides) under uncultured bacterium. RNAcentral's name for it is "bacterial SSU rRNA". It matches the Rfam family "Bacterial small subunit ribosomal RNA", at positions 28 to 549 of the family's 1533-position model. The record is from RNAcentral.
AAUCAACGCUGGCGGCGUGCCUCAGACAUGCAAGUCGAACGAUUAAACUUUCCUUCGGGGAAGAUAUAAAGUGGCGCACGGGUGAGUAACACGUAAGUAAUCUACCUUCGAGUGGGGAAUAACAUCGGGAAACCGAUGCUAAUACCGCAUAACGCAGCGGCAUCUUAUGGUGACAGUUGUUAAAGGAGCAAUUCGCUUGAAGAGGAGCUUGCGGCAGAUUAGCUAGUUGGUAAGGUAAUGGCUUACUAAGGCUUCGAUCUGUAUCCGGUCUAAGAGGACGGUCGGACACACUGACACUGAAUAACGGGUCAGACUCCUACGGGAGGCAGCAGUCGGGAAUUUUGGGCAAUGGGCGAAAGCCUGACCCAGCAACGCCGCGUGAAGGAUGAAGUAUUUCGGUAUGUAAACUUCGAAAGAAUGGGAAGAACUCAAUGACGGUACCAUUUAUAAGCUCCGGCUAACUACGUGCCAGCAGCCGCGGUAAUACGUAGGGAGCAAGCGUUGUUCGGU